RNAcentral lists this ribosomal RNA (119 nucleotides) under Schistocephalus solidus. The record is from RNAcentral. Lineage: Eukaryota; Metazoa; Platyhelminthes; Cestoda; Diphyllobothriidea; Diphyllobothriidae.
GUCAGCGACCAUACCACGUAGAAAGCACCGGUUCUCGUCCGAUCACCGAAGUUAAGCUACGUUGGGCCCGGUUAGUACUUGCAUGGGGGACCGGCUGGGAAUACCGGGUGUUGCCGACA